Molecule: ribosomal RNA, 293 nt
Filed under: uncultured bacterium
Lineage: Bacteria
Description: partial 16S ribosomal RNA
Rfam family: Bacterial small subunit ribosomal RNA
Source: RNAcentral
GUGCCAGCAGCCGCGGUAACACGUAGGCACCAAGCGUUAUCCGGAUUUAUUGGGCGUAAAGAGCUCGUAGGCGGUUCGGUAAGUCGGGUGUGAAAACUCUGGGCUCAACCCAGAGAGGCCACCCGAUACUGCUGUGACUAGAGUGCGGUAGGGGAGCGGGGAAUUCCUGGUGUAGCGGUGAAAUGCGCAGAUAUCAGGAGGAACACCAGCGGCGAAGGCGCCGCUCUGGGCCGUAACUGACGCUGAGGAGCGAAAGCAUGGGUAGCAAACAGGAUUAGAUACCCUGGUAGUCC